This 1373-nucleotide ribosomal RNA is filed under the name uncultured bacterium. Its description in RNAcentral is "bacterial SSU rRNA". It matches the Rfam family "Bacterial small subunit ribosomal RNA", at positions 28 to 1381 of the family's 1533-position model. The record is from RNAcentral.
GAUGAACGCUGGCGGCGUGCCUAAUACAUGCAAGUCGAGCGAACGGACGAGAAGCUUGCUUCUCUGAUGUUAGCGGCGGACGGGUGAGUAACACGUGGAUAACCUACCUAUAAGACUGGGAUAACUUCGGGAAACCGGAGCUAAUACCGGAUAAUAUUUUGAACCGCAUGGUUCAAAAGUGAAAGACGGUCUUGCUGUCACUUAUAGAUGGAUCCGCGCUGCAUUAGCUAGUUGGUAAGGUAACGGCUUACCAAGGCAACGAUGCAUAGCCGACCUGAGAGGGUGAUCGGCCACACUGGAACUGAGACACGGUCCAGACUCCUACGGGAGGCAGCAGUAGGGAAUCUUCCGCAAUGGGCGAAAGCCUGACGGAGCAACGCCGCGUGAGUGAUGAAGGUCUUCGGAUCGUAAAACUCUGUUAUUAGGGAAGAACAUAUGUGUAAGUAACUGUGCACAUCUUGACGGUACCUAAUCAGAAAGCCACGGCUAACUACGUGCCAGCAGCCGCGGUAAUACGUAGGUGGCAAGCGUUAUCCGGAAUUAUUGGGCGUAAAGCGCGCGUAGGCGGUUUUUUAAGUCUGAUGUGAAAGCCCACGGCUCAACCGUGGAGGGUCAUUGGAAACUGGAAAACUUGAGUGCAGAAGAGGAAAGUGGAAUUCCAUGUGUAGCGGUGAAAUGCGCAGAGAUAUGGAGGAACACCAGUGGCGAAGGCGACUUUCUGGUCUGUAACUGACGCUGAUGUGCGAAAGCGUGGGGAUCAAACAGGAUUAGAUACCCUGGUAGUCCACGCCGUAAACGAUGGGUGCUAAGUGUUAGGGGGUUUCCGCCCCUUAGUGCUGCAGCUAACGCAUUAAGCACUCCGCCUGGGGAGUACGACCGCAAGGUUGAAACUCAAAGGAAUUGACGGGGACCCGCACAAGCGGUGGAGCAUGUGGUUUAAUUCGAAGCAACGCGAAGAACCUUACCAAAUCUUGACAUCCUUUGACAACUCUAGAGAUAGAGCCUUCCCCUUCGGGGGGGCAAAGUGACAGGUGGUGCAUGGUUGUCGUCAGCUCGUGUCGUGAGAUGUUGGGUUAGGUCCCGCAACGAGCGCAACCCUUAAGCUUAGUUGCCAUCAUUAAGUUGGGCACUCUAAGUUGACUGCCGGUGACAAACCGGAGGAAGGUGGGGAUGACGUCAAAUCAUCAUGCCCCUUAUGAUUUGGGCUACACACGUGCUACAAUGGACAAUACAAAGGGCAGCGAAACCGCGAGGUCAAGCAAAUCCCAUAAAGUUGUUCUCAGUUCGGAUUGUAGUCUGCAACUCGACUACAUGAAGCUGGAAUCGCUAGUAAUCGUAGAUCAGCAUGCUACGGUGAAUACGUUCCCGGGUCU